GAUCCUGGCUCAGGAUGAACGCUAGCUACAGGCUUAACACAUGCAAGUCGAGGGGCAGCAUGGGAUUAGCUUGCUAAUCCUGAUGGCGACCGGCGCACGGGUGAGUAACGCGUAUCCAACCUUCCCCCUGCUCAGGGAUAGCCCGGUGAAAACCGGAUUAAGACCUGAUAGUUUCACUAGAUGGCAUCUGACGGUGAAUAAAGGUUUCGGCAAGGGAUGGGGAUGCGUCUGAUUAGCUUGUUGGCGGGGUAACGGCCCACCAAGGCGACGAUCAGUAGGGGUUCUGAGAGGAAGGUCCCCCACAUUGGAACUGAGACACGGUCCAAACUCCUACGGGAGGCAGCAGUGAGGAAUAUUGGUCAAUGGGCGGAAGCCUGAACCAGCCAAGUAGCGUGCAGGACGACGGCCCUAUGGGUUGUAAACUGCUUUUGUGCGGGAAUAAAGUCAGGGACGCGUCCCUGUUUGCAUGUACCGCAAGAAUAAGGACCGGCUAAUUCCGUGCCAGCCGCGGC
Molecule: ribosomal RNA, 512 nt
Filed under: uncultured bacterium
Lineage: Bacteria
Description: bacterial SSU rRNA
Rfam family: Bacterial small subunit ribosomal RNA
Source: RNAcentral